GAUGAACGCUGGCGGCGUGCCUAAUACAUGCAAGUCGAGCGAACAGACGAGGAGCUUGCUCCUCUGACGUUAGCGGCGGACGGGUGAGUAACACGUGGAUAACCUACCUAUAAGACUGGGAUAACUUCGGGAAACCGGAGCUAAUACCGGAUAAUAUAUUGAACCGCAUGGUUCAAUAGUGAAAGACGGUUUUGCUGUCACUUAUAGAUGGAUCCGCGCCGCAUUAGCUAGUUGGUAAGGUAACGGCUUACCAAGGCGACGAUGCGUAGCCGACCUGAGAGGGGGAGGGCCCACAAUGGAACUGAGAAAGGGUCCAAACCCCUAGGGGAGGCAGCAGUGGGGAAUUUUACGCAAUGGGGGAAAGCCUGAGGGAAAAACGCCGGGGGAGUGAAGAAGGUUUUGGGAUCGUAAAACUCUUUUAUUAGGAAAAAAAAAAUGGGAAAGUAAAUAUGCACGUUUUGACGGUACCAAAUCAAAAAGCCACGGAUAAAUACGU
This 496-nucleotide ribosomal RNA is filed under the name uncultured bacterium. RNAcentral's name for it is "partial 16S ribosomal RNA". It matches the Rfam family "Bacterial small subunit ribosomal RNA", at positions 28 to 506 of the family's 1533-position model. The record is from RNAcentral.